CUUCCCAAAAUGGCCCAGCAUUUCUGAGAUUCAAAUCACCAGUUCUUCCAUAUAUGACCAGAGGGUGACAUAUCCAAGGAAAAUCUGAACUCUGUCUUGACUGAGCUACCCUGAGCCUACUACAUGCUGAUUGGCUUAGGCUAAGGGCUGUGAUACACUGACAUGUGCCACAAAAGUCAAAACUCAGUUCUUUGGAAGGAAACAGAUCAUCAUUUAAGACACAGAACCUGAUGGAUGAUUCUGGACGUUAAUGCUGUGGAGACACAAGAAAGGUGAAAACCCUUCACAACUCAUGAUCAAGGUAUGGAAACGUUUCCCCACCUAUCUGAGGUCUUGGCAGAUCCAGCAGUCCGGCAUUCCUCAAAGUUGAAGGAAACCAGAGCACCCAACCCAGCAUCAAAGUCUUGAAUGACGUCGGCCUCGCCUCAUCAUUAAGCCACACAUCAUCACAUUCCGAUGACUCUGGGUUUAAAUUUUGUUUUUUUUCAGUCUC
RNAcentral lists this long non-coding RNA (493 nucleotides) under Capra hircus (goat). RNAcentral describes it as "lncRNA (ENSCHIG00000002302.1)". The record is from RNAcentral. Lineage: Eukaryota; Metazoa; Chordata; Mammalia; Artiodactyla; Bovidae.